GACGAACGCUGGCGGCGUGCUUAACACAUGCAAGUCGAACGGAAAGGCCCUGCUUUUGUGGGGUGCUCGAGUGGCGAACGGGUGAGUAACACGUGAGUAACCUGCCCUUGACUUUGGGAUAACUUCAGGAAACUGGGGCUAAUACCGGAUAGGAGCUCCUGCUGCAUGGUGGGGGUUGGAAAGUUUCGGCGGUUGGGGAUGGACUCGCGGCUUAUCAGCUUGUUGGUGGGGUAGUGGCUUACCAAGGCUUUGACGGGUAGCCGGCCUGAGAGGGUGACCGGCCACAUUGGGACUGAGAUACGGCCCAGACUCCUACGGGAGGCAGCAGUGGGGAAUAUUGCACAAUGGGCGGAAGCCUGAUGCAGCAACGCCGCGUGCGGGAGGACGGCCUUCGGGUUGUAAACCGCUUUCGCUCAUGACGAAGCUUUGUGUGACGGUAGUGGGUAAAGAAGCACCGGCUAACUACGUG
RNAcentral lists this ribosomal RNA (469 nucleotides) under uncultured bacterium. RNAcentral's name for it is "partial 16S ribosomal RNA". It matches the Rfam family "Bacterial small subunit ribosomal RNA", at positions 28 to 507 of the family's 1533-position model. The record is from RNAcentral.